AUUGAACGCUGGCGGCAUGCUUUACACAUGCAAGUCGAACGGCAGCGCGGGGGCGAACCCUGGCGGCGAGUGGUCGAACGGGUGAGUAAUGUAUCGGAACGUAUCCUGUAAUGGGGGAUAACCAGUCGAAAGAUUGGGUAAUACCGCAUACGCACGAGAGUGGAAAGUAGGGGAUCGCAAGACCUUACGUUAUAGGAGCGGCCGAUAUCUGAUUAGCUAGUUGGUGGGGUAAAGGCCUACCAAGGCGACGAUCAGUAGCUGGUCUGAGAGGACGACCAGCCACACUGGGACUGAGACACGGCCCAGACUCCUACGGGAGGCAGCAGUGGGGAAUUUUGGACAAUGGGCGCAAGCCUGAUCCAGCCAUGCCGCGUGCGGGAAGAAGGCCUUCGGGUUGUAAACCGCUUUUGUCGGGGAAGAAAUCUUCUGGGUUAAUACCUCGGGAGGAUGACGGUACCUGAAGAAUAAGCACCGGCUAACUACGUG
This 486-nucleotide ribosomal RNA is filed under the name uncultured bacterium. Its description in RNAcentral is "bacterial SSU rRNA". It matches the Rfam family "Bacterial small subunit ribosomal RNA", at positions 30 to 507 of the family's 1533-position model. The record is from RNAcentral.